Molecule: transfer RNA, 81 nt
Filed under: Bipolaris maydis ATCC 48331
Lineage: Eukaryota; Fungi; Ascomycota; Dothideomycetes; Pleosporales; Pleosporaceae
Also listed under: 1 other name
Description: tRNA-Ile (TAT) (tRNA-Ile-TAT-1-1)
Rfam family: tRNA (bases 7-72)
About the family: Transfer RNA (tRNA) molecules are approximately 80 nucleotides in length.
Source: RNAcentral
GUCCUGUGGCGCAGUGGUAGCGCGCCGUUCUUAUAAUGCGGAUGCCGUGGGUUCGAAGUAGGUUUCUCCCGCAAGAAAUCA